Molecule: long non-coding RNA, 1629 nt
Filed under: Betta splendens (Siamese fighting fish)
Lineage: Eukaryota; Metazoa; Chordata; Actinopteri; Anabantiformes; Osphronemidae
Description: lncRNA (ENSBSLG00000010774.1)
Source: RNAcentral
AUGCUCCAUCACUGUCUCUGCUCCAUCACUGCUCCAUCACUGCUCCAUCACUGUCUCUGCUCCAUCACUGCUCCAACACUGUCUCUGCUCCAUCACUGCUCCAUCACUGCUUCAUCACUGUCUCUGCUCCAUCUAUGCUCCAUCACUGUCUCUGCUCCAUCACUGCUCCAUCACUGUCUCUGCUCCAUCUCUGCUCCAUCACUGCUUCAUCACUGUCUCUGCUCCAUCACUGCUCCAUCACUGUCUCUGCUCCAUCACUGCUCCAUCACUGUCUCUGCUCCAUCUCUGCUCCAUCACUGCUUCAUCACUGUCUCUGCUCCAUCACUGCUCCAUCACUGUCUCUACUCCAUCUCUGCUCCAUCACUGCUUCAUCACUGUCUCUGCUCCAUCUAUGCUCCAUCUAUGCUCCACCACUGUCUCUGCUCCAUCACUGCUUCAUCACUGUCUCUGCUCCAUCUAUGCUCCAUCUAUGCUCCACCACUGUCUCUGCUCCAUCACUGUCUCUGCUCCAUCUCUGCUCCAUCACUGCUUCAUCACUGUCUCUGCUCCAUCACUGUCUCUGCUCCAUCUAUGCUCCAUCUAUGCUCCAUCACGGUCUCUGCUCCAUCACUGCUCCAUCUAUGCUCCAUCACUGUCUCUGCUCCAUCACUGCUCCAUCUAUGCUCCAUCACUGUCUCUGCUCCAUCACUGCUCCAUCACUGUCUCUGCUCCAUCUCUGCUCCAUCACUGCUUCAUCACUGUCUCUGCUCCAUCUAUGCUCCACCACUGUCUCUGCUCCAUCACUGCUCCAUCACUGUCUCUGCUCCAUCUCUGCUCCAUCACUGCUCCUUCACUGCUCCAUCACUGUCUCUGCUCCAUCACUGCUCCAUCACUGCUCUGUCCCUGCUCCAUCACUGUCCCUUCACUGCUUCAUCACUGUCUCUGCUUAAUCUCUGCUCCAUCACUGCUCCAUCACUGUCACUGCUCCAUCACUGCUCCAUCACUGCUCUGUCCCUGCUCCAUCACUGUCCCUUCACUGCUCCAUCACUGUCUCUGCUCCAUCACUGCUCCAUCACUGCUCCAUCACUGCUUCAUCACUGCUUCAUCACUGUCUCUGCUCCAUCUAUGCUCCACCACUGUCUCUGCUCCAUCACUGCUCCAUCACUGUCUCUGCUCCAUCUCUGCUCCAUCACUGCUCCUUCACUGCUCCAUCACUGUCUCUGCUCCAUCACUGCUCCAUCACUGCUCUGUCCCUGCUCCAUCACUGUCCCUUCACUGCUUCAUCACUGUCUCUGCUUAAUCUCUGCUCCAUCACUGCUCCAUCACUGUCACUGCUCCAUCACUGCUCCAUCACUGCUCUGUCCCUUCUCCAUCACUGUCCCUUCACUGCUCCAUCACUGUCUCUGCUCCAUCACUGCUCCAUCACUGCUCCAUCACUGCUUCAUCACUGCUUCAUCACUGUCUCUGCUCCAUCUAUGCUCCACCACUGUCUCUGCUCCAUCACUGCUCCAUCACUGUCUCUGCUCCAUCUCUGCUCCAUCACUGCUCCUUCACUGCUCCAUCACUGUCUCUGCUCCAUCACUGCUCCAUCACUGCUCUGUCCCUGCUCCAUCACUGUCCCUUCACUGCUUCAUCACUGUCUCUGCUUAA